CAGGCCAUUUGAAAGCAGUGUGCCUUUCCCACAAUCCCCUGGGCUCCACCGGCUUUGAGCUGGUGUUAAAGACUCUGCCCCUCCACUGUCUCACACACGUGGACCUGUCGGCUGUCUGCAGAGGGCCUGCUGAUUACCCGGCACUGGAACACCUCGCCAAAGUCCUGUCACAGGACGAGUGCUCUCUGAGCCACCUGAGCCUGGCUGCAAAUGGGCUGACAGACAGCAGUGUAACUACCUUGGCGAGGUGCCUCUCGUCGUGUCCCACACUGGUGAGUCUGAAUCUGUCAGGAAAUCCGUCUGUUACAUCAGCGUGA
Pelmatolapia mariae (spotted tilapia) is the source of this 317-nucleotide long non-coding RNA. RefSeq lists it as uncharacterized. The record is from RefSeq and is a predicted model, not a curated record. NCBI's taxonomy places the organism in Eukaryota, Metazoa, Chordata, Actinopteri, Cichliformes, Cichlidae. The transcript has 3 exons.